AUGAGAGAGAAACAGCAAGUGUGUGCUCAGAGGCGUGCUGUGAAAGCAGAAUCAUGGGGCCGGAGGGGCUGCAGGAGGGAAGGGAAGCGGCAGGCUGGCCGGCCGGCGCCCAGAGCUGGGGCAGCAGACUUGGGCUGCUCCGGAGCUGGGUCCUGCUGGAUGCUGAGAAUGGCCACACAUGCCUUCUGGCCGCUUGACCUCAGAUCUCCGGAGAACAGAGACUCACUCUCUGCUAGACCCUCUGCACUCACUCAGCCGUUUUGUACGCUGUCCCUUCAACCAGGAACCCGUUUGUGUGGUCAGAGUGUUAAACCAUCAUCCUUUCAAGAUGUGCAGACUGCUGUACUGAGAAGCGCUGUAAGGUUCAGAGCUGGACCAGGUGUAGGUCAAGGUCGAGCAUCUAUUCAACCUACAGCAGGUCUUGAAAGGGCCUUUGUAAUAUCUCGUCUCACCUGGGGGCAGCGCUGCCGUGUGAACUGAGUACAUCAGCACAUCCUCACUGGGGAACCGAAUGGCCAUGAAUUUAGAACAUUUGGUGAGAAGACCUGGGCCCUGGAUCGGAAGGUCUGCUGGGGCAUCGGGUCCCCCACAGGCCAUGUGAUGGUGUGACAAUGAGAAAGUCACUUGAUAACCCCAGUGGAGGUCACACCUCCCUCCCCAGCUCUCUGGCAUCACAAAGUACCCUGAGAUGUUGGAGAAACACACUGGGCAGAGCUGUGCCCCCUCAAAACCCCCAGGUCGAAGCCCUGAUCCCAAGACCUCAGAAUGUGGCUGUAUUUGAGGACAGGCUCUCCGAGGGAGAUUCACGCACGGCGAGGCCGGCAGGGUGGGCCCGAAGGCAUCCUGACUGGUGUCCUCUAAGAAGAUAUUUGGACACACCCCAAAAUGCCAGGGAUGCCCCCGAGGAGGGACCGCAUGAGGACACGGGGAGAAGUUGGCUGUCUGCGCCCAGGAGAGAGGACCCAGGAGGAGCCUAUGUGGGAGUUCCUGUUGUGGCUCAGCAGUUAUGAACCCACCUAGUACCUGUGAGGACAAGGGUUCAAUCCCUGGCCUCGCUCAGUGGGUUAAGGAUCUGGCGUUGCCAUGAGCUUCAGUGUAGUUUGCAGACGUGGCUCGGAUCUGGCGUGGCUGUGGCUGUGGUGUAGGCCGGCAGCUGCAGCUCCGACUUGCCCCCUAACCUGGGAACUUCUAUUUGCCGCAAGUAUGGCCCUAAGAAGCAAAAAGGAAAAAAAAGAAGGAAGCUAUGUGGCCCUUGACCUUGGGCUUCCGGUCUCCAGGUUGGGAGAAAUGAAUUUCUGCUGUUUCAGGCACCUCAUCAGGGGUUUACUGUAGUCUGAGCAAACUUAACACAAGUCAAGAAAGAAACAAAACCAGAAAUAACGACACUGACGCAUCCCUUUAUUGAGGGGGCUGCUGUCCUCGAAGAAGGAGGGGCUGGAGACGAGAGCUCUGCUCCUGCUCGGUCUCCGGCUCGCCUGGU
RNAcentral lists this long non-coding RNA (1480 nucleotides) under Sus scrofa (pig). Its description in RNAcentral is "lncRNA (ENSSSCG00060045316.1)". Lineage: Eukaryota; Metazoa; Chordata; Mammalia; Artiodactyla; Suidae. The record is from RNAcentral.